CCGGGAAAGUUUAUGUAAGCGUCCCUCCUGCCUUUUGCUUUUCGUUCCUCUCCCUGACGCUGACGCAUCCAUGCGCCAGAGGCAGUUGACGCGCAGCGGGUCGCGGCCUAGAGUCGCGGCAUGAAGCCGCGGCAAACCACCUGCAUUUCACGGGGACUGACUUCCGGUCAAUAUUACUGUUAGGCCGCUUCACACGUAUGGAAUCUAAGCAUGGAUUUGUAAUUGGCUCACCACUCAAUCAGGAUAUUCUGCGGCAACGAAAUUUGUCAGCGAUUGUUGCAGCCGACCGGGCGUUUCCGGCGGCGGCCGCUGAGCUGGGUCGUUCCGCAAGAAUGAGCAUUGUUAGGAGCAAGCGACAUUUUGUUAUCGUCCUCAUGUUCGCAUCUGGAUGGAUUGGGUCAAUCAAGGCACAGGAAGCCGACAAUCGAAAUAUCCUCUGGUCAGUAGGUUGGAGUUCGGAUGGCAAGCUCUUCGCGGUCGGCGGUCCACGGGUUGAGUUAUUCGAUGCAAAGACGCAUGCAAAGCGUCUGGCUCCAGGUCUUCGUACUUUGAGGUCGGUGAGUAAGGUGCGUUGGCACCCACACCGCAAUCUACUCGCGAUUUCUGGAGGAGCCGACGACGUGACCGCAAUUUACGACCCGGCUGCUGAUCACAAGAUUCCAUUGAAAACCAAGGAGGGGACCCGCGGGAUCGCGUGGAAUUCGAGCGGUAACAUGCUGGCUACUGCCGGAAACCGCGGAGAGUUACAAAUCUGGACUGCUGACGGAAAACUAUUGCACACGACGCGACCCGAGAAUGCCAAAGGUUUGACAGGCGUGGCCUGGCAUCCAAUAGAAGACAAGAUCGUGACGGUCGGAGAAUUCAUCACCCUGCAUGACGAAAGCGGAAAAAUCAUCAAACAGGUGCGUCAUCGACCGGAGGCUAGGAUGCCGGUGCUGCUGUUGUGCGUGGACUGGCAUCCGUCCGGAGAAUUCUUUGUAGUGGGAGACUAUGGCAAUCCGAAUACUUCUGGCGAUUCACCGGCGAUCCAGUUUUGGUCAUCCGAUUGCAGGCUGCUAAAGGCGAUUGAAAUCGAAAGUGCCGCGGAGUUCAGGAAUGUCAGUUGGAAUCGCGACGGUAGCUUGCUUGCAUCGGCGAGCGAUGUACUGCGCAUUUGGUCGAAGGACGGUCAAUUACAACACACCGGCAAGUCGCCCGAUCACCUCUGGGGCGUCCACUGGAACCCUAACGGAGAUCGGUUGUUAACAUCGAGUCAGCAAGGACGUGUUACUCUGUGGACCGCCACCGC
This 1288-nucleotide unclassified non-coding RNA is filed under the name uncultured fungus. RNAcentral's name for it is "sequence contains 18S rRNA gene, ITS1, 5.8S rRNA gene, ITS2, 28S rRNA gene". Lineage: Eukaryota; Fungi. The record is from RNAcentral.